This 310-nucleotide small nuclear RNA is filed under the name Castor canadensis (American beaver). RNAcentral's name for it is "7SK RNA (ENSCCNG00000008700.1)". It matches the Rfam family "7SK RNA". From Rfam's summary of the family: 7SK was discovered as an abundant small nuclear RNA in the mid-70s but a possible function has only recently been suggested. The record is from Rfam by way of RNAcentral. Lineage: Eukaryota; Metazoa; Chordata; Mammalia; Rodentia; Castoridae.
GGAUGUGAGGGCGAUCUGGCUGCGACAUCUGUCACCCCAUUGAUCGCCAGGGUUGAUUCGGCUGAUCUGGCUGGCUAGGCUGGUGUCCCCUUCCUCCCUCACCGCUCCAUGUGCGUCCCUCCCGAAGCUGCGCGCUCGGUCGAAGAGGACGACCAUCCCCGAUAGAGGAGGACCGUUCUUCGGUCAAGGGUAUACGAGUAGCUGCGCUCCCCUGCUAGAACCUCCAAACAAGCUCUCAAAAUAGAGGACUGUUACUCCUAAAGCCAUCUCCAUUUUACUAAAUGGCAACACUAGUGUUCUAGUUACCUUA